GACGAACGCUGGCGGCGUGCCUAAUACAUGCAAGUCGAGCGAAGUCUUUCUGGUUCUUGCCCUAGAACGACUUAGCGGCGAGCGGGUGAGAAACACGUAAAGAACCUGCCUCAUAGACUGGGACAACUAUAGGAAACGUAAUCUCAUACAGGAUAACAGCAUUAAAUGCAUGGAUGAUGUUUACUAGUUGGUUUGGCUAACACUAUGAGUUGUCUUGGCGGUGCAUUGGGUAGUUGGUGGGGUAAAGGCCUACCAAGGCGACGAUGGAUAGCCGACCUGAGAGGGUGACCGGCCACACUGGGACUGAGACACGGCCCAGACUCCUACGGGAGGCAGCAGUGGGGAAUCUUGCGCAAUGGGCGAAAGCCUGACGGAGCAACGCCGCGUGAGUGAAGAAGGAUUUCGGUUCGUAAAGCACUGUUGUUAGGGAAGAAAGAUUGUGUAGUAACAAGGCACGGUAGAGACGGUACCGGAACAGAAAGCCACGGCUAACUACGUG
RNAcentral lists this ribosomal RNA (499 nucleotides) under uncultured bacterium. RNAcentral's name for it is "partial 16S ribosomal RNA". It matches the Rfam family "Bacterial small subunit ribosomal RNA", at positions 28 to 507 of the family's 1533-position model. The record is from RNAcentral.